UUUGUUUUGUUUUUAAGUCAUUCAUAGAACUACUUAUCAAUGAUAUAAUGUUGUGGUUGCAUGAGUUUAUUUAUAGUUACAUAAGAUAUUGAACAUUCUGUUAGAUUUUAUCUGAUAAUAUAUAGCAAAACCUAAUACUGAUAGGGUAUGGUAUGGCUCACAUUAAUAUCAAAAUUCAAGAAUAUGUAUGUCUAUUUUCAAAUUUAUAAAAAAUGCCUAUAUUAAGAUCAAAUAACUCAAGACAUACACUUCACACUUUCAAAGAAUGAAUAUACUGAUGAGUCCUUCCAUCCCAAGUACAAAAAUCUUGCUUGGGUAUGAUGAAAAGUGCAUCAAAGGAAAAAAAUGACUAUUCAGUGUAUUUGAUGUUUUUGUUGUAAAUGAAAAUUCCCCCCUCCCCCCUUAAAUAUAUAUAUAUAUAUAUAUAGAACAUCUUUAUCUUAUGUCUUCGUUUCUUCCUGCGAUAUUUGAGACUGGUUAUUAAAUGCAUACAUUACAUAGGAAAAAUAUAUGCUGUACAUGAAUUUCAAAUCUUUAUCUGUUAUAACAUCUCAAUCAGUUAUAAAAAUUCAAUGAUUUAUAACUUUGAGUGUUUCUAUAGGUUAUUGUCUAUGGUGAUUAAAAUAUGCUUGGUCUUUCCUAGGGUGGAUAUUUUUAGUUUACCUACAUCCAAAAAUAACAUGCAAUGUAGUCAGUUCGCAUUGUGUAAAAUAUUUUAAAAUUCUCUAUAUUGACAACUUCAUACCAUUUAUAAUAUUAAUGUUUCAAAAACAUUGUAACUGUAUCAAUUAGACUUAACAGCUGCGCAUUUUCCAUUUUAUUUUUCUGUUUUCUUGUCUUUUUUUUUCCUACUCAUUACUUGUAAUCAAAAUACAUUCCUUUGUUUUGUAGUCUGCUUUUUAUUUUAUAUUGUGCAUAGACCACAAUCGCAUGCAAAAGGAUCUGGGCUAUUUUUCUCAAGUAUGUAUAUUUUCUUUUAAAGCAAAAGUAUUAGACUUUUUGGAUAGAUAUUGAUUUUCUAAGCAGAAAAUGGUCUCCCCUCCCUCCCUCUCAAUUUUUACACUGGGAGGCAGUGAAGAGGCAUAAGUGUUUCCUCAUGUAGA
This is a long non-coding RNA of Oxyura jamaicensis (ruddy duck), 1103 nucleotides long. RefSeq lists it as uncharacterized. The transcript is spliced from 3 exons. The record is from RefSeq and is a predicted model, not a curated record. Lineage: Eukaryota; Metazoa; Chordata; Aves; Anseriformes; Anatidae.